This is a long non-coding RNA of Octodon degus (degu), 552 nucleotides long. RefSeq lists it as uncharacterized. The transcript is spliced from 3 exons. The record is from RefSeq and is a predicted model, not a curated record. Lineage: Eukaryota; Metazoa; Chordata; Mammalia; Rodentia; Octodontidae.
GCUCAUCUGCGGCACUGCAGGGGUCGGAAACCGGCACAAAAAGGUCAUCUUAAAUCCAGGAGUCCGAUCAUCUGCGCAAGCCGAUUUGUCUCCUCCAGAUUCUCAGGUUAACGCCAUCCUUCCAUAUCUCAGAAAGGACUACACCGAGCCCCAAUAUGAUUGGUGUCCUCAUAAGAAGUCAUGCUCCCAGAGAAAAGGUCAUGUGGAGACUCAUACAGGAGGUGCCAUCUGCAGACCUCAGGAAAGCCCUGCCCUGGACACUCUGCCCUUGCACCCCCAGCCUCCAGGACUGUGGGAAACAGCUGUCUGCCGUUUAAACACCCAGUCCAUGGUACGUACGACGGUGCCUCUGAAGAGCUAUCAUGCUAGCAUACUGCCAUUGAAACUUCUCUGUCUCUGCCCCCCAACAACCCAGUGCUUGCUGAGUGCACCAGAAGGAAGUGAAAUGGCAAUUACCGCUGCUUACCGUCACCAGCAGGAAACACUCGAUAGCAAAAUGUUUAAGAAUUUCCCUAAAAUGAGUUACAAGAGGGCUUCUGGGUAUUUUUAAAA